RNAcentral lists this ribosomal RNA (481 nucleotides) under Semisulcospira gredleri. RNAcentral describes it as "partial large subunit ribosomal RNA". It matches the Rfam family "Bacterial large subunit ribosomal RNA", at positions 1802 to 2559 of the family's 2925-position model. Lineage: Eukaryota; Metazoa; Mollusca; Gastropoda; Semisulcospiridae. The record is from RNAcentral.
GUUUAUCAAAAACAUGGCUCUUUGCUUAAUAUAUAUAAAGAGUCGAGCCUGCCCAGUGAAAUUUUUCAACGGCCGCGGUACUCUGACCGUGCAAAGGUAGCGUAAUCAUUUGCCUUAUAAUUAAAGGCUGGUAUGAAUGGUCUGACGAGAGCAAUACUGUCUCCUUUUUAUUUUCAAGAACUUAACUUUUAGGUGAAGAGGCCUAAAUUUUAUUGAAGGACAAGAAGACCCUGUUGAGCUUAAAAGAAAUUAUAGAAGUUUAAUAUAUUUUUAGAUAAAUUUUCUAUUAAGCUUUUUAGUUGGGGCGACUGAGGAACAAAAAAAGCUUCUUUGUAACAGUAAACAAUCACGUUUAGAUCCGAUAGUAGCGAUUAAAGGAAUUAGUUACCGCAGGGAUAACAGCAUAAUCUCUCUUAAGAGACCUAAUCGAAAGAGGGGGUUGUGACCUCGAUGUUGGACUAGAGUAUCCUAAAGAUGCAGC